CCUACGGGGGGCAGCAGUGGGGAAUAUUGGGCAAUGGGCGCAAGCCUGACCCAGCAACGCCGCGUGAAGGAAGAAGGCUUUCGGGUUGUAAACUUCUUUUCUCAGGGACGAAGCAAGUGACGGUACCUGCGGAAUAAGCCACGGCUAACUACGUGCCAGCAGCCGCGGUAAUACGUAGGUGGCAAGCGUUAUCCGGAUUUACUGGGUGUAAAGGGCGUGUAGGCGGGACUGCAAGUCAGAUGUGAAAACCACGGGCUCAACCUGUGCCCUGCAUUUGAAACUGUAGUUCUUGAGUGCUGGAGAGGCAGGCGGAAUGCGUGGUGUAGCGGUGAAAUGCGUAGAUAUUAGGAAGAACACCGGUGGCGAAGGCAGUCUGCUGGACAGCAACUGACGCUGAGGCGCGAAAGCGUGGGGAGCAAACAGGAUUAGAUACCCUUGUAGUC
Molecule: ribosomal RNA, 443 nt
Filed under: uncultured bacterium
Lineage: Bacteria
Description: partial 16S ribosomal RNA
Rfam family: Bacterial small subunit ribosomal RNA
Source: RNAcentral